AAAGGUGUCAUUUACUGUUUUUUAGUUAUUUGCUGUAUUUUGAAACCACACCGACACCGGUGGUGCUUAGAGCCCUUUCGUCGGCUAUUGAUUGUGGUCUUCUCGUCCUUCGCCCGUAGCAGGAACCUACAGGCAACCACUUGGAACAAACAUGGCUAUGAAAACAACAUGGCCUGAGUUAGUAGGCCUAACUGCAGAUGAAGCAGAGAAGAAAAUCAAAGAAGAGAGACCAGCUGUACAAGUUCAGGUAGUUCCUUCAAAUUCCAUUGUCACUAUGGAUUUCAAACAGAAUCGGGUUCGUCUGUAUGUUGAUUCCUCUAGAAAAGUUGAAAGGGCCCCAAAAAUUGGGUAAUAAGUUAUCAAUUCAACAACCAUCUGUCUUGUUGGAAUAAAAUAGAUUGAAAGUUGAGAGUUGGUGAAUUUAUGUUGUCAUUUUCUAAGAAAGAUGUUAAAUUUGAAAUAACCUCACUUGUUUCUUGAUUUGUAUGUUGAUCUUCCCUUUGUCAACUAUUAAAAUUGCUAGUUUCUAAAGGUCUUUGUAACAUUAUUUAACAUAAUAUUGUUACAUGAAUGUUGUUUC
Long non-coding RNA from Mangifera indica (mango), 580 nucleotides. RefSeq lists it as uncharacterized. The transcript is spliced from 2 exons. Lineage: Eukaryota; Viridiplantae; Streptophyta; Magnoliopsida; Sapindales; Anacardiaceae. The record is from RefSeq and is a predicted model, not a curated record.